AGAAAAUUGCAAUAAGGUGAGACCAUGGGAACCAGCCGUGAAAGAAGGUGCAAAGAGCAAAAGAAGAAAGAGAGGUGGAGGUGGAGGUGGAGGUGGAGGUGGAGGUGGUGGUGGAGGUGAAGCAGAGAGGUGGAGGCAAGACAGCGGAAAAAAAACUCCCAUCAGUGGGUCCAACAUAAAACACCUGAGCUCACUUGAUUUUCUUUUUAGGCCUCAACUGAAAUGCAAACAAAUA
Molecule: long non-coding RNA, 235 nt
Filed under: Aquilegia coerulea
Lineage: Eukaryota; Viridiplantae; Streptophyta; Magnoliopsida; Ranunculales; Ranunculaceae
Description: long non-coding RNA (ACOE_LNC000317)
Source: RNAcentral